UUCCGGUUGAUCCUGCCGGACCCGACUGCUAUUUGGGUGAGAAUAAGCCAUGCGAGUUGAAUGGGAAACCUAAAGUUCCCAUGGCAAACUGCUCAGUAACACAUGAUCAACUUACCCUAUAGAGAAAAAUAACCUCGGGAAACUGAGGAUAAUGUUUCAUAGUUGAAUUGGCUUGGAAAAGUUUUUCGACGAAAGGGGUAAAAAAAAUGGUUUUUAUCUGCUAUAGGAUAGGAUCGUGUUCGAUUAUGGUUGUUGGUGAGGUAAUGGCUCACCAAGCCGAUAAUCGAUAGGGGCCGUGAGAGCGGGAGCCCCGAGAUGGGUACUGAGACAACGACCCAGGCCUUACGAGGCGCAGCAGGCGCGAAACCUCCGCAAUACACGAAAGUGUGACGGGGUUACCCAAAGUGUUCAAUUUUGAACUGUGGUAGGUGAGUAAUGUUCCCUACUAGAAAGGAGAGGGCAAGGCUGGUGCCAGCCGCCGCGGUAAAACCAGCUCUUCAAGUGGUCGGGAUAAUUAUUGGGCUUAAAGUGUCCGUAGCCGGUUUGGUAAGUUCCUGGUAAAAUCGGGUAGCUUAACUAUCUAUAUGCUAGGAAUACUACUAUACUAGAGGGCGGGAGAGGUCUGAGGUACUACAGGGGUAGGGGUGAAAUCUUAUAAUCCUUGUUGGACCACCAGUGGCGAAGGCGUCAGACUGGAACGCGCCUGACGGUGAGGGACGAAAGCCAGGGGAGCGAACCGGAUUAGAUACCCGGGUAGUCCUGGCCGUAAACGAUGCAUACUAGGUGAUGGCACGGCCAUGAGCCGUGUCAGUGCCGUAGGGGAAACCGUUAAGUGUGCCGCCUGGGAAGUACGGUCGCAAGGCUAAAACUUAAAGGAAUUGGCGGGGGAGCACCACAAGGGGUGAAGCCUGCGGUUCAAUUGGACUCAACGCCGG
This 935-nucleotide ribosomal RNA is filed under the name uncultured archaeon. RNAcentral's name for it is "bacterial SSU rRNA". It matches the Rfam family "Archaeal small subunit ribosomal RNA", at positions 1 to 921 of the family's 1478-position model. The record is from RNAcentral.